AGAGUGAACGCUGGCGGCAGGCCUAACACAUGCAAGUCGAACGGCAGCACAGAGGAGCUUGCUCCUUGGGUGGCGAGUGGCGGACGGGUGAGGAAUACGUCGGAAUCUGCCUAUUUGUGGGGGAUAACGUAGGGAAACUUACGCUAAUACCGCAUACGACCUACGGGUGAAAGCGGAGGACCUUCGGGCUUCGCGCAGAUAGAUGAGCCGACGUCGGAUUAGCUAGUUGGCGGGGUAAAGGCCCACCAAGGCGACGAUCCGUAGCUGGUCUGAGAGGAUGAUCAGCCACACUGGAACUGAGACACGGUCCAGACUCCUACGGGAGCAGCAGUGGGGAAUAUUGGACAAUGGGGCGCAAAGGCCUGAU
This 367-nucleotide ribosomal RNA is filed under the name uncultured soil bacterium. RNAcentral's name for it is "bacterial SSU rRNA". It matches the Rfam family "Bacterial small subunit ribosomal RNA", at positions 26 to 387 of the family's 1533-position model. The record is from RNAcentral.